Non-coding RNA from Poecilia reticulata (guppy), 1014 nucleotides. NCBI's taxonomy places the organism in Eukaryota, Metazoa, Chordata, Actinopteri, Cyprinodontiformes, Poeciliidae. The record is from RefSeq and is a predicted model, not a curated record.
GUACCCCCAAAAAGGUUAAGAACCACUGGUCUAGAGCUUCGGAGCGUGACGUCACUGCUCUAGUCGGAGGGGUAUCGGCGCCAUCUUUGUUGCCACCGACAAAAACGACUGUCUCUCAGAUAUUUUAGCUAUUGGCACAAACUUGCUGCGUUAAUGGAUGUAAUGUCCGAUUACACGACCGAAAAGGUAAAAAGAUGGAAAACGGACUUUAUUUUCACACUCAUCCUGCUUGGAAACAACGCGAGGAGGCUAAGCUAACGGAGCUAACGAGAAGAAGACGAAUGUCCUGGUGUCAGCGGUGAGACGUCCUGAUAUUUACCUUCUCCAACAUCCCCAGAUGCCUACAAGUUUCUUCCAGACAUUUCCAUUCUGGAUGUUUCCAAGCUCUCCUCUCCAGCAACUGGACGUCACCUGCAGUCACUCAGAUUCAUCUUCAUCAGAGGAACAAUCAGCCUGAACAGGACUCCGUGGCGACGCAGCGGCUGGCCGCGCUGCUUUCUCGUUGCUACGGCGAUUCUCCACUUCCUGCCGUCCUGCUGCGUCUCUGCAGCAGCUGAGCUCUGCCGGUUCUGUGAGAGAUUCUUCCUGCAGAAUCUGGUCCCGCUGCUGGACAGAGCGGACUCCCACCGCCUGUUGCUAGGGAGCGCCGUCCGGGUCGGGACCAGAACCUGGACCUCCUGCCGGUUCUGAGGAGCCUGGAGGCGGCGCUGAUCCACAGACUGUCUGACCUGCUCGCUGCAUGUCGAGGGUAGAAGUUCUGACCGGAUCGUCUCUGGUUGGUACCACAAGCAAACAUCUGGUUCUACGUUUCACAUCUGCAUUCAGGCUGGAGCCGGUUCUGACCCGUAAAAUAUUUACAACAAGAACAGAAACCUGGUUGAACCUCCAACCGUCCUCUGAGUUAAACUGUUUAUAACUUCUAAACAUUUUAUUUCUAAUUGAAGCUGUUUUCAUGUUAACGGAUUAAAACCUGCAGCUGCAUUAAAACCUGCAGCUCCGCUUAUCCGGGGUCGG